Molecule: transfer RNA, 74 nt
Filed under: Botryobasidium botryosum FD-172 SS1
Lineage: Eukaryota; Fungi; Basidiomycota; Agaricomycetes; Cantharellales; Botryobasidiaceae
Description: tRNA-Asn (GTT) (tRNA-Asn-GTT-2-1, tRNA-Asn-GTT-2-2)
Rfam family: tRNA
About the family: Transfer RNA (tRNA) molecules are approximately 80 nucleotides in length.
Source: RNAcentral
UGCCCCGUGGCCUAAUUGGUUAAGGCGUCCGACUGUUAAUCGGGAGAUUGAGAGUUCAAUCCUCUCCGGGGCAG